AAUUAAAUCCAUUUAAAAUAAUCUUUGUCUGAAAAUAAAAUAUGAUCCUCAACUGCGUUUCCCCUCCAGUCAGCAGACGGCAAUGUGCGUCUUUCAGGCGACGCUGCCAGCGUGACGUGUAAUCUAGUGGACGGUUCUUCAGAAACAGCUCGUCAACCACCUCGGUAGCUGUCUAGCCAACAUAGCCGAAAGAUUCAAGCUAUUUAUACGCUUUUGGUGUAUAUUAGCUACAGUUUUAGACACACUUCUGUCGUAUCUACUUGUGAACCUAUUUAAUUUAAUAUUACGUUAUUUUGUAUUAGUCAGCUAUAGUAUCUAUCUGGUUAAGUUAGCACUAGCCUAGUCGCUAAUGAUAAUAGCUAGCUAGCUAACAUCCCCGAACAUGAGCUCCCUAAACAUCUCCCCUCUUGUUAAAGAAGAGGAGGUCUGCUGGACGGAGAAAGAAGCUCUGGGGCUGAACAUUGUUGUGAAAGAGGAGGAGGAUGUCACAGUAAAACAAGAAGUAGAGGGUGAGGCUGUUACAGUGAAAGAAGAGAACGACGUUUCAGUGAAAGAAGAGGAAGACGCGUUCAGAGUGAAAGAUGAGGAGAAUGUUACUGUGAAAGAAGAGGAGGAUGCCGUUUUUGGAGUGAAGAUGGAAGGGGCGAUUACUGUCACAUUGAAAGAUGAAGAGGUGGAGAUAGGAGAUCCGAUUAACACCAGAGAGAGACGGGACUACCGUGGGUCAUCUGGGAAGCCUCAACAACCUCAUGAUGCUGACGAGGCAGAGAAGAGUCUCUACAGAUCAGAACACGUCAAGAAACACCAGCGGAGAUCCACAGGGAAGGGAACUCCCUGCUGCUCUGACUGUGGGAAGAGAUUCACCUCAUCAGGCAUUAAAAUUCAUCAGAGAAUCCACACAGCAGAGAAACCUUACGGCUGUGAUCAAUGUGGGAAGAGUUUUGUUCAAUACAGCCAUCUGAAGAUACACCAGAGAACACACAAAGGAGAGAAAUCUUAUAGCUGUACUCAAUGUGGUAAGAGUUUUAGUCAUUCAACCAGCCUGAUACCACACCAGAGAACACACACAGGAGAUAAUCCUUAUAGCUGUGAUCAAUGUGGGAAGAGUUUUACUCAGCUAAGCAUCCUGAUAUCACACCAUAGAACACACACAGGUGAGAAACCUUAUAGCUGUGAUGAAUGUGGGAAGAGUUUUACUACAUCUAGAAAUCUGACUCUACACCAGAGCAUACACACAAAAGAUAAAUCUUUUAGCUGUACUCAAUGUGGGAAGAGUUUUCUUCAAUAUAGCCAUCUGAAGAUACACCAGAGAACACACACAGGAGAGAAACCUUUUAGCUGUACUGAAUGUGGGAAGAGUUUUAGUCAUUCAACCAGCCUGAUAUCACACCAGAGAACACACACAGGAGAAAAACCUUAUAGCUGUGAUCAAUGUGAGAAGAGAUUUACUCAGCUAAGCAUCCUGAUAUCACACCAGAGAACACACACAGGCGAGAGACCUUAUAGCUGUUCUCAAUGUGGGAAGAGUUUUACUCAGCUAAGCAACCUGAUUUCACACCAGAGAACACACACAGGAGAGAAACCGUUUAGCUGUGAUGAAUGUGGGAAGAUUUUUACUACAUAUAGAAAUCUGACUCGACACCAGAGAAUACACACAGGAGAGAAACCUUUUAGCUGUACUCAUUGUGGGAAGAGUUUUACACAGCAAAGCAACCUGAUAUCACACCAGAGAACACACACAGGAGAGAAACCCUAUAGCUGUGAUCAAUGUGGGAAGAGUUUUACUCAGCUAAGCAACCUGAUAUCACACCAGAGAACACACACAGGAGAGAAACCCUAUAGCUGUGGUCAAUGUGGGAAGAGUUUUGCUACAUCUGGGCAGCUGACUAUACACCAGAGAACACACACAGGAGAAACCUCUUAGCUUUGACCAGAGAUAAUCUGAUAAAAGAUCUUAGAUCAAAUAUUAGAAAGUACAUACAGGAAGGAGUUGUUUCAUGAUAUCAAUGAAUUACUGUCAAUGUUUUAACAUUGUACUAGGAGUAUUUUAAUCAUGUCACAAUGUAGAAGCCUAAAUGUUUGCCCCCUUAUCAAUUAAUAUCAACAUGAUAUGGAUAUUAGCGUUCGGGGGAAAAAUCCAGGCUCUGAAUUUAAAGUUGUGUUGUGUUGAGUUGUGUUACACUUACCACGUUGGUGACCCACUGCAGUUUAUAAGGAGCUUGUUUAAAAAAUACAAAUAACAUGAUGUUUGUGUAUAUAGCACAUUUUAUGUUUAGGUUUUCAAUUUAUCCCAAACUGUUUCUGCGUAUUGGUUAUUGAUUUGGACACGUUAACACUGUUUUGACAUCAGGCUUUCCCACCGAGCAAAAUGUCAUUGAAAAGACAUUCAAAAGAAGACUAUGCCCGACGUCCAAUAUACGUUCGGUUGAAAAUAUGUAUUUUGGGGUAAUUUUUUUGACUUGAAAAUAACUUAAUUUCAACUUACUUGCAGGUAUCCUAGUGGUUAGAGCGUUGGGCCAUCAUUGUAAGCCAGAAUUUGUUCUUAACUGACUUAUUUACAAUGAUGGCCUACCAGGGAGCAGUGGGUUAACUGCCCUGUUUAGGUGCAGAAUGACAGAUUUUUACCAUGUCAGCUCGGGAUCCAGUCCAGCAACCUUUCGGUUCCUGUUAAAUGAAGGUUAAAAUAAACAAAUAAAAACACAGUAUAACAAAUUGGUCUAUAAUCAAUUUUAUUAACCAUCUUUCAUCACUCCAGUAUUUCUUGACAACAUUCAAUUGCUAAUUGUCUUUAUUCCACUACUGAAGACACGUCUCAAAUCACCUCAAACAUUCAGCCUGACAAAAGAUAUGUUUUAUUAUUCAAUGCCUGACAAUUAAGUGAAUUAUUGCCAAUACAUAUUAACAAAGGGGUGUACAUUUGAUCACAAUUUAUUGUGACUGCAUGUUUUUCUGUAUUGGAGAUGGGUUUUGUUUGGACUCGUUCCAAGUGGACAAGAAGCUAGUGAGUUUUAGGAAGAUGAGAGUUCUAGAAGCUAAUGAGUUCUAGAAGCUAGUGAGUUUUUAGGAAGAUGGGAGUUCUAGAAGCUAGUGAGUUUUAGGAUUCUAUAGAAAGAAAAAUGAGAAAAUGGUAUAUUAUUAUUUAGAAAUGUGUUUUUUCUUGUUUUUAAUUGUUGACAGCCAGUAGACGCCAUGUUUAUAUUGGUGAAGGAGAAGCAUUGUAGUUGAUUAUAAUGUGAAAUGGAAGUUUUCUGUUGGUGGUAAGCA
Non-coding RNA from Oncorhynchus mykiss (rainbow trout), 3264 nucleotides. The record is from RefSeq and is a predicted model, not a curated record. NCBI's taxonomy places the organism in Eukaryota, Metazoa, Chordata, Actinopteri, Salmoniformes, Salmonidae.